Molecule: ribosomal RNA, 213 nt
Filed under: uncultured Spirochaeta sp.
Lineage: Bacteria; Pseudomonadati; Spirochaetota; Spirochaetia; Spirochaetales; Spirochaetaceae
Description: partial 16S ribosomal RNA
Rfam family: Bacterial small subunit ribosomal RNA
Source: RNAcentral
UGGGGACGACGUCAAGUCCAUCAUGGCCCUUAUGUCCUGGGCUACACACGUGCUACAAUGGCCGGUACAGAGCGCAGCGAGGCCGCGAGGCGGAGCGAAUCGCUUAAAGCCGGUCCCAGUACGGAUUGGAGUCUGCAACCCGACUCCAUGAAGUUGGAAUCGCUAGUAAUCGCGCAAUCAGCCAUGGCGCGGUGAAUACCGUUCCCGGGCCUU